Molecule: transfer RNA, 74 nt
Filed under: Mycobacterium tuberculosis
Lineage: Bacteria; Bacillati; Actinomycetota; Actinomycetes; Mycobacteriales; Mycobacteriaceae
Description: tRNA-Arg(cct)
Source: RNAcentral
UCGCGCGCCAGCCGGCGCGACGCGCUGUUCCUGCCGGCGCCCGACCGCGGCGCGCGCCGCGCGCGCCGCGUGAC